Molecule: ribosomal RNA, 508 nt
Filed under: uncultured bacterium
Lineage: Bacteria
Description: bacterial SSU rRNA
Rfam family: Bacterial small subunit ribosomal RNA
Source: RNAcentral
GACGAACGCUGGCGGCGUGGAUUAGGCAUGCAAGUCGAACGGUAUCAUCCUUUCGGGGGUGAGAGAGUGGCGAACUGGUGAGUAACACGUAGGUUAUUCUACCCUCAAGACGGGGACAACCCAGGGAAACUUGGGCUAAUACCGGAUGUGAGCAACUUUUAGUUGUUUGAAAGGUGGCGUAAGCUGUCGCUUGGGGAUGAGCCUGCGUCCUAUUAGUUAGUUGGUGAGGUAACGACUCACCUAGGCAAUGAUAGGUAGGCGGCCUUAACGGGUGGUCGCCCACACUGGGAUUGAGAUACGGCCCAGACUCCUACGGGAGGCAGCAGUCGAGAAUAGUCUACAAUGGUCGGAAGACUGAUAGUGCGACGCCGCGUGAACGAUGAAUCCCUUCGGGGUGUAAAGUUCUUUUAUAUGUGAGCAGUGCUUCUUAUAUUAACAGUAUGGGGAGAGAGAUAUUAGCAUAUGAAUAAGCAACGGCUAACUCCGUGCCAGCAGCCGCGGUAAAACG